Molecule: ribosomal RNA, 386 nt
Filed under: uncultured bacterium
Lineage: Bacteria
Description: partial 16S ribosomal RNA
Rfam family: Bacterial small subunit ribosomal RNA
Source: RNAcentral
UGGGGGAAUAUUCACAAUGGGCGCAAGCCUGAUGCAGCCAUGCCGCGUGUGUGAAGAAGGCCUUCGGGUUGUAAAGCACUUUCAGCGAGGAGGAAGGUGGUGAACUUAAUACGUUCAUCAAUUGACGUUACUCGCAGAAGAAGCACCGGCUAACUCCGUGCCAGCAGCCGCGGUAAUACGGAGGGUGCAAGCGUUAAUCGGAAUUACUGGGCGUAAAGCGCACGCAGGCGGUUUGUUAAGUCAGAUGUGAAAUCCCCGGGCUCAACCUGGGAACUGCAUUUGAAACUGGCAAGCUAGAGUCUCGUAGAGGGGGGUAGAAUUCCAGGUGUAGCGGUGAAAUGCGUAGAGAUCUGGAGGAAUACCGGUGGCGAAGGCGGCCCCCUGGA